RNAcentral lists this ribosomal RNA (253 nucleotides) under uncultured bacterium. RNAcentral's name for it is "partial 16S ribosomal RNA". It matches the Rfam family "Bacterial small subunit ribosomal RNA", at positions 524 to 776 of the family's 1533-position model. The record is from RNAcentral.
UACGAAGGGGGCUAGCGUUGUUCGGAAUUACUGGGCGUAAAGCAUGCGCAGGCGGCUUCUCAAGUCAGGGGUGAAAGCCCAGAGCUCAACUCUGGAAUUGCCUUUGAGACUGCGAGGCUUGAUCACGGGAGAGGUGAGUGGAAUUCCGAGUGUAGAGGUGAAAUUCGUAGAUAUUCGGAAGAACACCAGUGGCGAAGGCGGCAUCCUGGACCAACACUGACACUGAGGAGCGAAAGCGUGGGGAGCGAACAGG